This 2357-nucleotide ribosomal RNA is filed under the name Klebsiella pneumoniae. Its description in RNAcentral is "bacterial LSU rRNA". It matches the Rfam family "Bacterial large subunit ribosomal RNA", at positions 590 to 2925 of the family's 2925-position model. Lineage: Bacteria; Pseudomonadati; Pseudomonadota; Gammaproteobacteria; Enterobacterales; Enterobacteriaceae. RNAcentral also lists the same sequence under 1 other name. The record is from RNAcentral.
GGUGUGACUGCGUACCUUUUGUAUAAUGGGUCAGCGACUUAUAUUCUGUAGCAAGGUUAACCGUAUAGGGGAGCCGCAGGGAAACCGAGUCUUAACUGGGCGUUAAGUUGCAGGGUAUAGACCCGAAACCCGGUGAUCUAGCCAUGGGCAGGUUGAAGGUUGGGUAACACUAACUGGAGGACCGAACCGACUAAUGUUGAAAAAUUAGCGGAUGACUUGUGGCUGGGGGUGAAAGGCCAAUCAAACCGGGAGAUAGCUGGUUCUCCCCGAAAGCUAUUUAGGUAGCGCCUCGUGAAUUCAUCUUCGGGGGUAGAGCACUGUUUCGGCUAGGGGGUCAUCCCGACUUACCAACCCGAUGCAAACUACGAAUACCGAAGAAUGUUAUCACGGGAGACACACGGCGGGUGCUAACGUCCGUCGUGAAGAGGGAAACAACCCAGACCGCCAGCUAAGGUCCCAAAGUCAUGGUUAAGUGGGAAACGAUGUGGGAAGGCACAGACAGCCAGGAUGUUGGCUUAGAAGCAGCCAUCAUUUAAAGAAAGCGUAAUAGCUCACUGGUCGAGUCGGCCUGCGCGGAAGAUGUAACGGGGCUAAACCAUGCACCGAAGCUGCGGCAGCGACACUAUGUGUUGUUGGGUAGGGGAGCGUUCUGUAAGCCUGCGAAGGUGGCCUGUGAGGGCUGCUGGAGGUAUCAGAAGUGCGAAUGCUGACAUAAGUAACGAUAAAGCGGGUGAAAAGCCCGCUCGCCGGAAGACCAAGGGUUCCUGUCCAACGUUAAUCGGGGCAGGGUGAGUCGACCCCUAAGGCGAGGCCGAAAGGCGUAGUCGAUGGGAAACAGGUUAAUAUUCCUGUACUUGGUGUUACUGCGAAGGGGGGACGGAGAAGGCUAUGUUAGCCGGGCGACGGUUGUCCCGGUUUAAGCAUGUAGGCGGAGGUUCCAGGUAAAUCCGGUACCUUUUAACGCUGAGGUGUGAUGACGAGGCACUACGGUGCUGAAGUAACAAAUGCCCUGCUUCCAGGAAAAGCCUCUAAGCAUCAGGUAACAUUAAAUCGUACCCCAAACCGACACAGGUGGUCAGGUAGAGAAUACCAAGGCGCUUGAGAGAACUCGGGUGAAGGAACUAGGCAAAAUGGUGCCGUAACUUCGGGAGAAGGCACGCUGGUGUGUAGGUGAAGUCCCUGCGGAUGGAGCUGAGACCAGUCGAAGAUACCAGCUGGCUGCAACUGUUUAUUAAAAACACAGCACUGUGCAAACACGAAAGUGGACGUAUACGGUGUGACGCCUGCCCGGUGCCGGAAGGUUAAUUGAUGGGGUUAUCCGUAAGGAGAAGCUCUUGAUCGAAGCCCCGGUAAACGGCGGCCGUAACUAUAACGGUCCUAAGGUAGCGAAAUUCCUUGUCGGGUAAGUUCCGACCUGCACGAAUGGCGUAAUGAUGGCCAGGCUGUCUCCACCCGAGACUCAGUGAAAUUGAACUCGCUGUGAAGAUGCAGUGUACCCGCGGCAAGACGGAAAGACCCCGUGAACCUUUACUAUAGCUUGACACUGAACAUUGAGCCUUGAUGUGUAGGAUAGGUGGGAGGCUUUGAAGCGUGGACGCCAGUCUGCGUGGAGCCAACCUUGAAAUACCACCCUUUAAUGUUUGAUGUUCUAACGUAGGCCCCUUAUCGGGGUUGCGGACAGUGUCUGGUGGGUAGUUUGACUGGGGCGGUCUCCUCCCAAAGAGUAACGGAGGAGCACGAAGGUUAGCUAAUCCUGGUCGGACAUCAGGAGGUUAGUGCAAUGGCAUAAGCUAGCUUGACUGCGAGCGUGACGGCGCGAGCAGGUGCGAAAGCAGGUCAUAGUGAUCCGGUGGUUCUGAAUGGAAGGGCCAUCGCUCAACGGAUAAAAGGUACUCCGGGGAUAACAGGCUGAUACCGCCCAAGAGUUCAUAUCGACGGCGGUGUUUGGCACCUCGAUGUCGGCUCAUCACAUCCUGGGGCUGAAGUAGGUCCCAAGGGUAUGGCUGUUCGCCAUUUAAAGUGGUACGCGAGCUGGGUUUAGAACGUCGUGAGACAGUUCGGUCCCUAUCUGCCGUGGGCGCUGGAGAAUUGAGGGGGGCUGCUCCUAGUACGAGAGGACCGGAGUGGACGCAUCACUGGUGUUCGGGUUGUCAUGCCAAUGGCACUGCCCGGUAGCUAAAUGCGGAAGAGAUAAGUGCUGAAAGCAUCUAAGCACGAAACUUGCCCCGAGAUGAGUUCUCCCUGAGACUUUAAGUCUCCUGAAGGAACGUUGAAGACGACGACGUUGAUAGGCCGGGUGUGUAAGCGCAGCGAUGCGUUGAGCUAACCGGUACUAAUGAACCGUGAGGCUUAACCUU